RNAcentral lists this ribosomal RNA (585 nucleotides) under uncultured bacterium. RNAcentral describes it as "partial 16S ribosomal RNA". It matches the Rfam family "Bacterial small subunit ribosomal RNA", at positions 355 to 937 of the family's 1533-position model. The record is from RNAcentral.
UGGGGAAUUUUGGACAAUGGGCGAAAGCCUGAUCCAGCAAUGCCGCGUGUGUGAAGAAGGCCUUCGGGUUGUAAAGCACUUUUGUCCGGAAAGAAAUCCUUGGCUCUAAUACAGUCGGGGGAUGACGGUACCGGAAGAAUAAGCACCGGCUAACUACGUGCCAGCAGCCGCGGUAAUACGUAGGGUGCAAGCGUUAAUCGGAAUUACUGGGCGUAAAGCGUGCGCAGGCGGUUUGCUAAGACCGAUGUGAAAUCCCCGGGCUCAACCUGGGAACUGCAUUGGUGACUGGCAGGCUAGAGUAUGGCAGAGGGGGGUAGAAUUCCACGUGUAGCAGUGAAAUGCGUAGAGAUGUGGAGGAAUACCGAUGGCGAAGGCAGCCCCCUGGGCCAAUACUGACGCUCAUGCACGAAAGCGUGGGGAGCAAAACAGGAUUAGAUACCCUGGUAGUCCACGCCCUAAAACGAUGUCAACUAGUUGUUGGGGAUUCAUUCCUUAGUAACGCAGCUAACGCGUGAAGUUGACCGCCUGGGGAGUACGGUCGCAAGAUUAAAACUCAAAGGAAUUGACGGGGUCAUAGCUGUUUCC